Non-coding RNA from Drosophila virilis, 311 nucleotides. NCBI's taxonomy places the organism in Eukaryota, Metazoa, Arthropoda, Insecta, Diptera, Drosophilidae. The record is from RefSeq and is a predicted model, not a curated record.
UAGCGGUGCACAUUGUUUUUUUUUUUUUAUUUUUCUUCAGUGACACGUCAAAGUCAAAUGGCAUCGCGCAGUCACAGUGUAAAUUGUAAAUGCAAUUGUAAAUAACAAUGAAACAAGUGUUUAUAAAAGAGCGUUUGCUGCACAGGCAAACUGUGAAGUGUUCGAUUUUUAAGAGUGAAUAUAAAUAUUCAGCAUGCCGGCUAAUUUAUACCAAAAUCUCAAAUUCACUUGUUGCGCACGCAUGACACACACACUCAUGCGCAUGUAUUGUUAAUUCCUUUUCCAUUGAUGAUGUAUUCUAAACGUAAAUU